RNAcentral lists this ribosomal RNA (915 nucleotides) under Lactiplantibacillus plantarum. RNAcentral describes it as "bacterial SSU rRNA". It matches the Rfam family "Bacterial small subunit ribosomal RNA", at positions 55 to 933 of the family's 1533-position model. Lineage: Bacteria; Bacillati; Bacillota; Bacilli; Lactobacillales; Lactobacillaceae. The record is from RNAcentral.
AUGAAAGUCGAACGAACUCUGGUAUUGAUUGGUGCUUGCAUCAUGAUUUACAUUUGAGUGAGUGGCGAACUGGUGAGUAACACGUGGGAAACCUGCCCAGAAGCGGGGGAUAACACCUGGAAACAGAUGCUAAUACCGCAUAACAACUUGGACCGCAUGGUCCGAGUUUGAAAGAUGGCUUCGGCUAUCACUUUUGGAUGGUCCCGCGGCGUAUUAGCUAGAUGGUGAGGUAACGGCUCACCAUGGCAAUGAUACGUAGCCGACCUGAGAGGGUAAUCGGCCACAUUGGGACUGAGACACGGCCCAAACUCCUACGGGAGGCAGCAGUAGGGAAUCUUCCACAAUGGACGAAAGUCUGAUGGAGCAACGCCGCGUGAGUGAAGAAGGGUUUCGGCUCGUAAAACUCUGUUGUUAAAGAAGAACAUAUCUGAGAGUAACUGUUCAGGUAUUGACGGUAUUUAACCAGAAAGCCACGGCUAACUACGUGCCAGCAGCCGCGGUAAUACGUAGGUGGCAAGCGUUGUCCGGAUUUAUUGGGCGUAAAGCGAGCGCAGGCGGUUUUUUAAGUCUGAUGUGAAAGCCUUCGGCUCAACCGAAGAAGUGCAUCGGAAACUGGGAAACUUGAGUGCAGAAGAGGACAGUGGAACUCCAUGUGUAGCGGUGAAAUGCGUAGAUAUAUGGAAGAACACCAGUGGCGAAGGCGGCUGUCUGGUCUGUAACUGACGCUGAGGCUCGAAAGUAUGGGUAGCAAACAGGAUUAGAUACCCUGGUAGUCCAUACCGUAAACGAUGAAUGCUAAGUGUUGGAGGGUUUCCGCCCUUCAGUGCUGCAGCUAACGCAUUAAGCAUUCCGCCUGGGGGAGUACGGCCGCAAGGCUGAAACUCAAAGGAAUUGACGGGGGCCCGCACAAGCGGU